Eriocheir sinensis (Chinese mitten crab) is the source of this 619-nucleotide long non-coding RNA. RefSeq lists it as uncharacterized. The transcript has 2 exons. The record is from RefSeq and is a predicted model, not a curated record. NCBI's taxonomy places the organism in Eukaryota, Metazoa, Arthropoda, Malacostraca, Decapoda, Varunidae.
GCUGAAUCUUAUUGGUGGAUGCUGGGAAAGGCUGAAUCUUAUUGGUGGAUGCUGGGAAAGGCUGAAUCUUAUUGGUGGAUGCUGGGAAGGCUGAAUCUUAUUGGUGGAUGCUGGGAAAGGCUGAAUCUUAUUGGUGGAUGCUGGGGAAGGCUGAAUCUUAUUGGUGGAUGCUGGGAAAGGCUGAAUCUUAUUGGUGGAUGCUGGGAAAGGCUGAAUCUUAUUGGUGGAUGCUGGGAAAGGCUGAAUCUUAUUGGUGGAUGCUGGGAAAGGCUGAAUCUUAUUGGUGGAUGCUGGGAAAGGCUGAAUCUUAUUGGUGGAUGCUGGGAAAGGCUGAAUCUUAUUGGUGGAUGCUGGGAAAGGCUGAAUCUUAUUGGUAGAUGCUGGGGAAAGCGGUGAAUCUUAUUGGUGGAUGCUGAGCUGUUAUGGGAGGAGCUUAUUCGCCAAGUCAGCUUAACCACAGCUUACGCCAGAUUUUUAAAACAUUGCAUUAGUAUUUAUUGACUUAAGUGGUUAGUUUGGCUUUUCUUUCCUUCUCUGGGGACGGAGUUGGUAGGAAGAGUUAGAUUUCCACGGAGUUACGUCAACACACAUUACAGAAUCAGUCAUAAAAAGUGAUAUA